UGCUCAGCUUGGCAACACAACAGUAAAAUUGGAGCAAUACAAAGAUUAGCAUGGCCCCCGCACAAGGAUGACAUGCAAAUUUGUGAAGCGUUCCAUAUUUAA
This is a small nuclear RNA of Cervus hanglu yarkandensis (Yarkand deer), 102 nucleotides long. The record is from Ensembl. Lineage: Eukaryota; Metazoa; Chordata; Mammalia; Artiodactyla; Cervidae.